GUAACAAGGUCUCCGUAGGUGAACCUGCGGAGGGAUCAUUACACAAUAAAAUAUGAAGGCUGUACGCGGCUGUGCUCUCGGGCCAGUUUUGCGGAGGCUGAAUUAUUUAUUACCCUUGUCUUUUGCGCACUUGUUGUUUCCUGGGCGGGUUCGCCCGCCACCAGGACCACAUCAUAAACCUUUUUUAUGCAGUUGCAAUCAGCGUCAGUAUAACAAAUGUAAAUCAUUUACAACUUUCAACAACGGAUCUCUUGGUUCUGGCAUCGAUGAAGAACGCAGCGAAAUGCGAUACGUAGUGUGAAUUGCAGAAUUCAGUGAAUCAUCGAAUCUUUGAACGCACAUUGCGCCCUUUGGUAUUCCAAAGGGCAUGCCUGUUCGAGCGUCAUUUGUACCCUCAAGCUUUGCUUGGUGUUGGGCGUUUUUUGUCUUUGGUUGCCAAAGACUCGCCUUAAAAGGAUUGGCAGCCGGCCUACUGGUUUCGCAGCGCAGCACAUUUUUGCGCUUGCAAUCAGCAAAAGAGGACGGCAAUCCAUCAAGACUCCUUCUCACGUUGACCUCGGAU
RNAcentral lists this ribosomal RNA (562 nucleotides) under Curvularia lunata. RNAcentral's name for it is "eukaryotic LSU rRNA". The stretch from base 232 to 385 matches the Rfam family "5.8S ribosomal RNA". The record is from RNAcentral. Lineage: Eukaryota; Fungi; Ascomycota; Dothideomycetes; Pleosporales; Pleosporaceae.